Ceratotherium simum simum (southern white rhinoceros) is the source of this 793-nucleotide non-coding RNA. The record is from the annotation of a RefSeq genome assembly. NCBI's taxonomy places the organism in Eukaryota, Metazoa, Chordata, Mammalia, Perissodactyla, Rhinocerotidae.
CCUCGUGUCCUGGGCUCACUGUCUUCUGAGCGGGACUGGAGUUCUGAGAGGGUGCUCUGCUCCUCCUGUCAUCUCUCCCUUUCCUUCUGAGGCCCAAGGAGGAAGGCAUGCUGCGGGCUCUAGCCCUCCUUCUAGCUUUCCUGGCUCCUGCCACUCAGGCAUCUUCCAACUUGGAAGGGACACAAAUGGCAGUCAUCAAGCCGGCUGGGUCAUCUGUUGUAAUCACUUGUGAUAUUAAACAAAGCCUCACCUAUGUCCACUGGUACCAGUACAAGGAGGGGAUGGCCCCACAACGACUUCUAUACUACCAUUACCAAUACUCAAGGUUGAUGACAGAUCCGGGAAGCAAUUCAGGGAAAUACCAUAUGUAUGGAAGCUCAGAGAAGAAUCGUAAUAUUGAACUCCGAAAUCUGGAAGAAAGUGAUUCUGGUGUGUAUUACUGUGCUGUCUGGGAGAGGCACAGUGAUUCAGACCUCCCCUACACUGCACUGAAAAUUUUGCUUGUGGCUGCCAAGAGCAGCCUUGGCACACACGAUAGACCAGCCUCUGUCUCCCUUCCUGCCCUGACUUCACUGUGCUCUGAACAAAGAGAGACCCUGAGCUCAGUGCCCAACCCCCACCCUUGUAUCCCACUGGCCUCCCUCCUCCCCUGUGAGCCACAGCGCUUUCCUAAAGAUAGAUCUCCCAUCUCCAGGCCUUAGACAAUCAGUCUGGCAGACAGCAUAUUCUUUCAGCUCUCCUAGGAGCUAGUGGAGUCCAUUCAGUCUGCUUCCUGGGACAAACAAUGUCACUU